RNAcentral lists this ribosomal RNA (240 nucleotides) under uncultured bacterium. Its description in RNAcentral is "partial 16S ribosomal RNA". It matches the Rfam family "Bacterial small subunit ribosomal RNA", at positions 96 to 334 of the family's 1533-position model. The record is from RNAcentral.
UGGCGGACGGGUGAGUAACGCGUGGGUAACCUGCCUUGUACAGGGGGAUAACAGUUGGAAACGGCUGCUAAUACCGCAUAAGCCCACGACCCGGCAUCGGGUAGAGGGAAAAGGAGCAAUCCGCUUUGAGAUGGCCUCGCGUCCGAUUAGCUAGUUGGUGAGGUAACGGCCCACCAAGGCGACGAUCGGUAGCCGGACUGAGAGGUUGAACGGCCACAUUGGGACUGAGACACGGCCCAG